UUGUGUUGAACAGUGUGAUUGCAACAUAAUUUGAACAUCUUUUAAAUAUGAAAAAAUAGCUAUCAAUUUUUGGAAUUAAAUUUACUCAUUGCUUUAGUUACAGUGUGAAAGGAUGAUUUGAAUCAUUAACCAGAUUAUAGAAUUGAAUAGUAAAGGGUUUGUGUAGAGUUUAAAUGUUCCUUUACGAAAUUAUACAUGUAGCUAACACUUCACAAGCUGCCGAAAAUAGAGUCUCAUCGAUUGCG
Long non-coding RNA from Leptopilina boulardi, 245 nucleotides. RefSeq lists it as uncharacterized. The transcript has 3 exons. The record is from RefSeq and is a predicted model, not a curated record. NCBI's taxonomy places the organism in Eukaryota, Metazoa, Arthropoda, Insecta, Hymenoptera, Figitidae.